Molecule: ribosomal RNA, 900 nt
Filed under: uncultured bacterium
Lineage: Bacteria
Description: bacterial SSU rRNA
Rfam family: Bacterial small subunit ribosomal RNA
Source: RNAcentral
AGAGUUUGAUCCUGGCUCAGGAUGAACGCUAGCUAUAGGCUUAACACAUGCAAGUCGAGGGGAAACGGCAUUAUGUGCUUGCACAUUUUGGACGUCGACCGGCGCACGGGUGAGUAUCGCGUAUCCAACCUUCCCUCCACUCGGGGAUACCCCGUUGAAAGACGGCCUAAUACCCGAUGUUGUCCACAUAUGGCAUCUGACGUGGACCAAAGAUUCAUCGGUGGAGGAUGGGGAUGCGUCUGAUUAGCUUGUUGGUGCGGGUAACGGCCCACCAAGGCUACGAUCAGUAGGGGUUCUGAGAGGAAGGUCCCCCACAUUGGAACUGAGACACGGUCCAAACUCCUACGGGAGGCAGCAGUGAGGAAUAUUGGUCAAUGGACGGAAGUCUGAACCAGCCAAGUAGCGUGCAGGAUUGACGGCCCUAUGGGUUGUAAACUGCUUUUGUUGGGGAGUAAAGUGGGGCACGCGUGCCUUUUUGCAUUUACCCUUCGAAUAAGGACCGGCUAAUUCCGUGCCAGCAGCCGCGGUAAUACGGAAGGUCCAGGCGUUAUCCGGAUUUAUUGGGUUUAAAGGGAGUGUAGGCGGCCUGUUAAGCGUGUUGUGAAAUUUAGGUGCUCAACAUCUACCUUGCAGCGCGAACUGGCGGACUUGAGUGCACGCAACGUAUGCGGAAUUCAUGGUGUAGCGGUGAAAUGCUUAGAUAUCAUGACGAACUCCGAUUGCGAAGGCAGCGUACGGGAGUGUUACUGACGCUUAAGCUCGAAGGUGCGGGUAUCGAACAGGAUUAGAUACCCUGGUAGUCCGCACGGUAAACGAUGGAUGCCCGCUGUUAGCGCCUGGCGUUAGCGGCUAAGCGAAAGCAUUAAGCAUCCCACCUGGGGAGUACGCCGGCAACGGUGA